Molecule: ribosomal RNA, 482 nt
Filed under: uncultured bacterium
Lineage: Bacteria
Description: partial 16S ribosomal RNA
Rfam family: Bacterial small subunit ribosomal RNA
Source: RNAcentral
AGUGAACGUUGGCGGCGUGGAUUAGGCAUGCAAGUCGAGCGAGAACCGUAGCAAUACGGGGACAGCGGCGAAAGGGACAGUAAUGUGUAGGUACCUACCCCCGGGUUCGGGAUAGCUGCGGGAAACUGCAGGUAAUACCGAAUAAUGUCUCCGGACCAAAGGUGUGAUUCCACCUGGGGAGGGGCCUGCAUCCUAUUAGCUUGUUGGUGGGGUAACGGCCUACCAAGGCGACGAGGGGUAGCGGGUGUGAGAGCAUGACCCGCGUCAUUGGGACUGAGCCACUGCCCAGACACCUACGGGUGGCUGCAGUCGAGAAUCUUCGGCAAUGGGCGCAAGCCUGACCGAGCGACGCCGCGUGCGGGAUGAAGGCCUUCGGGUUGUAAACCGCUGUCGUAGAGGAGGAAAUGCAGGGGGGUUCUCCCCUUUGCUUGACCUAUUCUAGGAGGAAGUACGGGCUAAGUUCGUGCCAGCCGCCGCGGUAA